Quercus robur (English oak) is the source of this 498-nucleotide long non-coding RNA. RefSeq lists it as uncharacterized. The transcript has 2 exons. The record is from RefSeq and is a predicted model, not a curated record. Lineage: Eukaryota; Viridiplantae; Streptophyta; Magnoliopsida; Fagales; Fagaceae.
AAAAAAAAAACUCUCUCUUUCUUCAGAUCUUUCUCUACCCAAAAUUCAAAAACUCUCUCACACCAUUACUCAAUCUCCAUGGCUACAACUUGCAGUCACUGUGUCCCACACCUCCACUACCGACGGAGUUUCGGUACGUUCUUGUCUCUCUCCUUCAGCUGCUGGAGGUGCUAUCGUCUGUGCCACCACCACUAGUGGCCGCCGGGAUAAAAUAUUAGCCUCUGCUGCAAUGAAGUUCAAUGUAUCUUGCCAGAAAAAUGUUUUGAAGCAUUCCAUGAAGUAUUGAAGCCAUGUAUCUUGCUGUCAAUAGGCUAAUUUUUCAGUAUCAAUGAAACACUGAAUGUAUUCUUUAGUUUUGACACUUACUAGUUUUCAUGUUCAUAUACAAAAACGUUUACAUGGAUUUAGAGUACAAACCAAGAAGAAUGUAAUAAAAUAUAGUUAUUCUUUUAUUGAUAUUGAUUUGAGAAUGUAAUAAAAUGUAAUUGAUUGUGUGCC